RNAcentral lists this non-coding RNA (957 nucleotides) under Cervus nippon sichuanicus (Sichuan sika deer). RNAcentral's name for it is "12S ribosomal RNA". It matches the Rfam family "Bacterial small subunit ribosomal RNA". The record is from RNAcentral. Lineage: Eukaryota; Metazoa; Chordata; Mammalia; Artiodactyla; Cervidae.
CACAGGUUUGGUCCCAGCCUUCCUAUUGACCCUUAAUAGACUUACACAUGCAAGCAUCCACACCCCAGUGAAAAUGCCCCCCCAAGUUAACUAAGACUAAGAGGAGCUGGUAUCAAGCACACAUCCGUAGCUCACGACACCUUGCAUAGCCACACCCCCACGGGAGACAGCAGUGAUAAAAAUUAAGCCAUAAACGAAAGUUUGACUAAGCCAUAUUAAUCAGGGUUGGUAAAUUUCGUGCCAGCCGCCGCGGUCAUACGAUUAACCCAAGUUAAUAGGCAUACGGCGUAAAGCGUGUUAAAGCACUAUACCAAAUAAAGUUAAAUUCCAAUUAAGCUGUAAAAAGCCAUAAUUGCAACAAAAAUAAACAACGAAAGUAACUUUACAGCCGCUGAAACACGAUAGCUAGGACCCAAACUGGGAUUAGAUACCCCACUAUGCCUAGCCUUAAACACAAAUAGUUAUGUAAACAAAACUAUUCGCCAGAGUACUACCGGCAAUAGCUUAAAACUCAAAGGACUUGGCGGUGCUUUAUACCCUUCUAGAGGAGCCUGUUCUAUAAUCGAUAAACCCCGAUAAACCUCACCAUUCCUUGCUACUACAGUCUAUAUACCGCCAUCUUCAGCAAACCCUAAAAAGGUACAAAAGUAAGCACAAUCAUAAUACAUAAAAACGUUAGGUCAAGGUGUAACCUAUGGAACGGAAAGAAAUGGGCUACAUUUUCUAAUCUAAGAAAAUCCAACACGAAAGUUAUUAUGAAACUAAUAACCAAAGGAGGAUUUAGCAGUAAACUAAGAAUAGAGUGCUUAGUUGAAUUAGGCCAUGAAGCACGCACACACCGCCCGUCACCCUCCUCAAGUAGGCACAAUACACUCAAACUUAUUUACACGUAUUAAUCAUAUGAGAGGAGAUAAGUCGUAACAAGGUAAGCAUAAUGGAAAGUGUGCUUGGAUAAAU